Long non-coding RNA from Sander lucioperca (pikeperch), 138 nucleotides. RefSeq lists it as uncharacterized. NCBI's taxonomy places the organism in Eukaryota, Metazoa, Chordata, Actinopteri, Perciformes, Percidae. The record is from RefSeq and is a predicted model, not a curated record. The transcript is spliced from 3 exons.
AGGUCACGGCAGUUUACUGCGGCGCCGCUUUGACGACCAGCCACACUGAGGCGGUCCUAAAAUCUGAAAUGGAAAACGGACGCACAGUGUGUCGAGUCGAGGCGAGUAGAGUCGAGCAGGUACCAGGUAAUGGAAAAA